GAUGAACGCUGGCGGCGUGCCUAAUACAUGCAAGUCGAGCGAACGGACGAGAAGCUUGCUUCUCUGAUGUUAGCAGCGGACGGGUGAGUAACACGUGGAUAACCUACCUAUAAGACUGGGAUAACUUCGGGAAACCGGAGCUAAUACCGGAUAAUAUUUUGAACCGCAUGGUUCAAAAGUGAAAGACGGUCUUGCUGUCACUUAUAGAUGGGUCCGCGCUGCAUUAGCUAGUUGGUAAGGUAACGGCUUACCAAGGCAACGAUGCGUAGCCGACCUGAGAGGGUGAUCGGCCACACUGGAACUGAGACACGGUCCAGACUCCUACGGGAGGCAGCAGUAGGGAAUCUUCCGCAAUGGGCGAAAGCCUGACGGAGCAACGCCGCGUGAGUGAUGAAGGUCUUCGGAUCGUAAAACUCUGUUAUUAGGGAAGAACAUAUGUGUAAGUAACUGUGCACAUCUUGACGGUACCUAAUCAGAAAGCCACGGCUAACUACGUG
RNAcentral lists this ribosomal RNA (497 nucleotides) under uncultured bacterium. RNAcentral's name for it is "partial 16S ribosomal RNA". It matches the Rfam family "Bacterial small subunit ribosomal RNA", at positions 28 to 507 of the family's 1533-position model. The record is from RNAcentral.